UCCAAAAAGGUUUUCCUUCAGUGUAGGUGACAAACUUACAGAAUUUACAUACAAAAAUACAUAAUAUUCUCUUCUAAUUUUAGUCAGUCAGAAAAACAGUUGAUACUGUCAUGAUAUUGAACAGAUUACUGCCUAUAUGUUACGGACAAAUUCACUUGGGGAGACUAAUUAUAGAUAAAUCAAUUAACAAGAAUUUAUUAAGCAAGCGGUAUUAAGCAAAAGAACACCGCUGGGCGGCUGGAGCCUCUGCUCUGCCACGGCGCACCUUCCCCCUUUGACCUUUUUGUUUUUAUAGUCCCCCUUUUUUUUUUUCCGGUUGAUUUAUUUUCUGUCGACGCACUCUGCGCCGGUGCAAUUGGGUGCUAGGGGGUCUUUUUUGCUGCCCUUGGUGGUCAUAGGAAUGAAGGCUCCUCAUCUUCCUUGCAGAUUGUCCUUGGCCUAGAAGUUAACUUGUAUAUGAUUAGUUACACAGUCUUCUAUGCUAGUUGCAUUCCCUACUCAGUUAAAAUUCUUAUCUCCUUUAACGCUCAUUUUGAUGAACAAAGGCCUUUUUAUUUACUACAAUCCCCCCUUUUUCUCUUUACCAAUUUGUUCAUUAAAAUGCUUUAACUCUUGGUAGCUUAAGACCAGGGUUUCAUCUACUUCUAAGUCCCUGGGCAAUGUUUCGUACCUAUCUCUAAUAAGCAUUAGAUGAGCUGCCUCUAGUCUUCCUUUUAUAAUGUCUGUGAUUUUAUUAAAAAUGUAAGGUCUGAAAGUUAAACUUAGUAACAACAAUAUUACGGGACCUGCAAUCCCCCUUAUACAGAAUUUCUCCUUGAGUGCCAAAGCCCGGAGUUUUGCACCCCUCAGGGUACCAUGAGACCUUUAAAAAUUUAUCUGGAUGGGUGACAGCUUAGGCGGUUGCUAUGGUUUUACAGCCCUAAUACUCACACAGAUAUUCCCCAGGAUAAUUACAAUGUCCCCUCCCAGGAUUGGAACUAGGACACCAAUAGGUAGCCCAGAGUUUAGGUUUACUCCAUCUCCACAUAGAGUUUACUAAAUCCUCAUUAGUAACAAAAAAAAAUGGGAGCUACAGUGGUGGCAUUAUGCUUAACAACUUUUCCUUGGUCUAUUUUGGUCAGAGUCCAAUUAAAUGGCUGGUGUGCAUAGUCCCCUUGUACAGACCCGGUACAACAUAUAACUAAUAUGCACAGAAUUUGCCAGCAAGGGUGGAGUCCAAACUGCCCCAGGAUUUGAGUAUCAUUAUCUCCCCAUUCUCAAUGUUUGUUUUGAUAUGUUAUUGCCGGGCUCACCUUUACCCUUGGGAGGUCAGUAUCCUUGAGGCAGUUCUUGAAACACCUUUGAAUUGUCCCAGUUUGAGGGCUCUUUCCUCCACCGCUUCUUAUCCCUCUGCCUCGCUCGCUGACUUGGUUGCUCCGAGCCGUGAGGCGUACCAUCUUCUCGGCAGCAAGGAUAUUCUUCAGGAGGACCCUUACUCUGCUUUUGUUGCCUCUUUUUGAAUGAUUCCCGGUUUUUAUCCUUCACUUGCAGUGAGUCACACUGAAUCCCAGGUAAAGUUUUCUGGCAAUUCCCUUUUAUAAUUUGAACAAUUAGGGGAAUUUGUUCAUUGGAGUGGAAACAACAAUUUUCAGGCCUAGCCCCCUUAGUAAACACCUCUCACCACUCUUGGGAUUCUCUUGGUAGGGUCCCGUUCUCUUCUCCAAUCCUUAGGACUGACUCUGUCAGUUCUCUUUCUAAUUGAUAACACCCUUUACAAAUACCCCCAGGAGGAGUGCCUCUAUAACUAUGGACCUACCACCGUUCCUGGCAAAUUUUACAAAUAUAGCAUACAAAAGGGUAACAAUCACAAUCCUUAUUUGUACAAUAUACUCUAAAAUCAUUAGUUAUAGGAUAUCCAUAGUCCUAUAGCUCACUAUACCAGCUGGUUUGUACAAUUCUUACUGAGUCCAUUAAGUCCACUUAAAUGUGACCUUAAGAUCCCUGGGUUGGCUGGUUAUUCUCCAGGGGUCUUCGGCAGCAGCAGGAAUCGGUCCCUUUAUUCGGCUUGCAUGUGUCCAUCCCUUCUCGGCGGUUCUGACUGCAGUUUCUCACUACUCUAUAAAACACCAGGAAGAUGGUCUCCUUAACAGUCAGGGGAAACGGAACCUUCUUUAAUAGGGAGAUAACAGAUUCAGAGGAGAAGAAGGAAAGCAAAGGCUGAAAAGCCUCAUCCCCUACUUCCCCUCUAACAAACUGGCUGUACAACCAUAACCAAGAACCAUACAUUCCAGGAACAGACCUCAGCACCUUUAUAAACCCCCUGGAAGCCAUUACACCCAAGCCCAGCUCAAUGGAUAUUCUGGUCAGUGCCCUUCUACUGCAAAAACUACGUAUUAGGGACAAUACUGGAGCUAUUCCUGGAUUAAAAAAUAAACCUAGGGACCAUAGAGGGAUUAAGAUGUCAAAAAACCCUAGGGACCAGAAACACAUACAGGCCUCCACUCUAAAAUACACUAUGAAUUCAAACAACAUAGCCAGUAACUGCUCCAUACUAACACAAAGUAAUUGGAACCAAAAUAUGAUUAGAACAGGGGUUUUUUCCACUCUCUCCAGCCACGAGAUAGGCAGCAAAAUAUUUGUCCUAGUUUAGGGCAAAUUUGGGAGAAAAACCUGUGGAAGGAGCCCCCAGAAAACAAACCCCCACGGCCCCUCCCCACCCACCUGAUUUGGGAAGAAUUUUCUCUGAGAGAAGUGGAAAAGAACCUGUUUAUUUAACAAACAAAACCCUCCCCAGCACCAAAGAAAGGAACAACACCAGAUGACAACAAAACUCUUUCACCACUCUGAAGAGAUGACAAAUCCAAAAGUCUUUCCUGAGAGUGGUCGCCCGGGUCUGGGUGCUGGGGAUUGCUCUCCAGCACUGGGGAUGUCUGCUGCAGAUCACAGAGCGCAGGCUAUCGGUAUUCCUGGGUGUUUCCCAGGUCCCAGUCCGGAGCAGGCUGGAAUGAUAUUCAGGAAAGGGAAAGGAAAAAAAGAAAAACAGUCUAGGGAAAGAAUUGGAAUGCUUAGCUAAAUAAUUUAAAAAGCAAAGGCAAAAGCAAGCAAAAAAAAAAAAAAAAAAAA
This 3102-nucleotide long non-coding RNA is filed under the name Taeniopygia guttata (zebra finch). RNAcentral's name for it is "lncRNA (ENSTGUG00000029590.1)". Lineage: Eukaryota; Metazoa; Chordata; Aves; Passeriformes; Estrildidae. The record is from RNAcentral.